GGGGCUUGUGGGAACGGCCCACCGCAGGGUUGGCCACCUUGAGAAGCUGCGAAGAUGGCGGAGUAAGGCGUGCCGCUGCAAACUGGCCUCUGGGCCGGGGGCGAGCAGCCCCCGGGAGGCCGAGUGCAUCUGUUGGACCGUGCGAGGAGAAGAAAAAAAAUAUCGGCCAGAGGAGAGGAACUAACCGAACAUUCUUCCUCCCUACCUUAUAGAGGGGAGUGGUCAUCUACACUAAAGCAAAGUGUUAGGCGCGUCCGUGCGAAGAGACCACCAAACAGGCUUUGUGUUCCUUAUCACAGGAAGAAAAUUUUCCUUGACCUUUAGGUGCUUUUAUAUUCAUCUCAAAAACAAAAUUCUGAACUCAGGACUUGGCAAGUUCAAGCGAUUCUCCUGCCUCGGCUUCCUGAGUAGCUGGGACUACAGGCACCCGUUACCACGCCCAGCUAAUUUUUGUAUCUUUAGUAGAGACGGGGUUUCACCAUGUUGGCCAGGCUGGUCUUGAACUCCGGACCUGGUGAUCCACCCACUUCGGCUUCCCGAAGUGCUGGGUUUACAGAUGUGUCUCUAUGUUGUCUCCUAGAGUGGGUAGUCCUGCUUCUUUUACCCAGUUACUUUCCCGUUUUUGAAAUGUGGCUAUCACUUCUCUACACAUUACCUCCAUGAUUUGGAAUGGAAAAGGCCACUUUUCUUUUUGUUCUGCCUCUCAAAUUCAACACAGAGGAGCUCCUAGGAUUCCAGUUAUCCUGCUAACAUCUCCAGGAAGAAAGAAGCAACUCACAUGGGUCUUUUGCUGUUUGCUUAAUUAUAAAGACAUCAUUUUGCAAGCAGAAGGCUGAGUUUCAUUUGAAACAGGUGCUUAGGUGGUGGUAUUUGUGAAUACUUUUCAUUCCAAGCAAGAAGACUAAAGAAGUAGCAAGUAUGAAUGACUUCAGGGUUUAAAAAAAAUGUCUUCCAGUUUCAGCCACUACCAUGAUAAGCACAGUUGAGACUGCAGCAGUAAAUUCCAAAUAUGUGUUUCUAAUUUGACGUGAAAGAUACUAAAAAUUUAUAUUUGUAUAUUUAAAUCCUGGCUCAUCCUGUGACAUAGAUUUACUGAAUAGGAACAAAGGCCCAAUUUUAAACAAAAACCUAGGCCGGGUGUGGUGGCUCACACCUGUAAUCCCAACACUUUGGGAGGCCAAGGCAGGCAAAUCACCUGAGGUUGGGAGUUUGAGACCAGCCUGACCAACAUGGAGAAACCCCAUCUCUACUAAAAAUAGAAAAUUAGCCAGGUGUGGUGGUAGAUACGUGUAAUCCCAGCUACUCGUGAGGCUGAGGCAGGAGAAUUGCUUGAAUCCGGGAGGCGGAGGUUGCAGUGAACUGAGAUUGCACCACUGCACUCCAGCCUGGGCGACAGAGUGAGACUCCGUCUCAGAAAAAUAAAAAACAACUUUGGACAUAGAGGAGUUGGGGGCAGAGGGGGGAGGAUGAGAGAAUUUUCCAUGUAACUCCUUUUCCUUAAGAAAAAGAAGCAAAAAUCCCUCAUGCAGUGCCAUCUGACUUUAUGGUGUUUCACAUUAUAUAGUUACUUUUUUUAAUAAACGCAUAAGAUUAACUCUUCCUGCAACCCAAGGUGGAUACUUGGAUGUUUGAUUUUUAUUUAUUUAUUUAUUUAUUUUUUGAGGCAGUCUCUCUCUGUUGCCCAGGCUGGAGUGAUGCGUGAUUUCUGCUCACUGCAGUCUCUCCCACCCGGGUUCAAGCGAUUCUCCUGCCUCAGCCUCCCAAGUAGCUAGGAUUACAGGCGCGCACCACCACGCUCAGCCUGAUUUCUAGGCUGAAAAGGCUGGGACUCAGGUACUUUCCCCAGUUGGGACUGAACUUUCUCAUCAGAGAAUGGGCCUCAGAAGCAAUGUUCCCAAACUUGUGGUUGGGUCAUCGUGGAAAAGAAACCUCAAAUAAGAAAAAUAAUUACAAUAAGAAAUGGAUUUUCUUUUUUCCCACAACAGUUAUACAUUAUAAAGAACAGACUGUCGUAGAAAACUGUCUUUGCUUCCAAAUCAGCAGAGGACCAUUGUAUGUAUUGUCAGGUCUUUAUAUAAGAGUGAAACCUUUAUUUAUGCUUCUUGUGAGUAGAGAAUAAAUUUUAAAACUAAUUAGAUGAAAUUAAGAACAGAGUAUUGGAACAUCUCUGUGUUUUCCGGAAUGUUUACUCAGGUCCAUGAAUGCUGUGAUGCUGGGAACUUAGGGAAGAUUCACCAAAAUUUGAGAGUGAUAAAAAUGGCCUAAAAUGGGAAAUGGUGAGCACUCUUAUUAUUAGUGAGAUUGGUCAAUCAGCCCAUUUGAAAUGGGUAAAAAAUACUUUCAGUAAAAUAAUUACAUAUUAUAUAUAAAAUAUUUCUUUUUUUGAGGGCAGCUACUGAGUGAUAAAAGCAUAGUAGAAAUCACUUUGGUUAAAAGUAACUCAAAUUUUUCUCUUAAGUAAUCUACCAACUUCCUGAUGUUUUUCUUUAAUAUUUUGGAACUGUUCAAGACAGAAUGGAGCCUACAUAUAUGGUGUUCCACUAGUAUGUUGAAAAUGUCAUAUCAUGGAGAAUGGAGACACCUUCCAGGUGUCUGUUAAACCCAUCUUCUCUGUGUACUUCUGGCAUCUUUUUUGGUAGGAUCAUUUGGCAGGGGGUAGAGUACCUGUACUUUUGGCACCAUUGAAACCAGCUCUGGCCCACUUGUUUGAAUAGCUAUCAGACUCAGCGUCUCUAUAUGCUUUAUAUACAGUUGAGAGAACCAGUGUUUAAUGCUCUUGAAAUUGUAUCUUCCAUGCUUCAGACCAGAUGCAUUUAACAAAAUGGAUAUAUUCCAGCUGUAGUUGCCCAGUGUUUACUUAACACAUCUACAUUUUUUUCUUGUCUAUUUUGGUCCCCUUGAUAGGAAAAGCUAUAAUUUUAGGCAGGACUAUACGUCGAUUUGUAGCCAUGCUUCCUUCCUUUCCCUUGCUCAUCCAUGUUAGCUGGCAGUUUUUCUUUUGAAAAGUUAAAACCGGGAUAUGUGCAAUAGAAAUAUAUAUAUAUAUAUGUAUAUUUUAAUACUUGUGGACAAAUGUUACAAGUUGUUUAAGAACAACAAAAUCACCAAUGUCUUCCAUUUUGAGAUGUGUAUAGUUUUGUAAGCAUUAGUGCUUGGUAGCAUAUUGUAGUGCCAUGUUAGGGGUUAGUGCAUGAGUCUAGUGAUUUUAAACUUCAGGAUGAAUUAUUGAUAAUAACAAAUAGUGUAAAAAGAGUGGAAAAUCUAAACCUUUUCUUUUUCCAUAAUGUCUAAAUCUGUUAUAUUCUUCCUGGGGAAAAGAGAUUAAGGCCCAAAAGACUCAUUUAUGAAUAGAAAUGUGGGGUCAAAAUCUGAGAUACUAUAUUUGAGGACAUUUCAGCUUUCCAUAAGGUAUCUGGAAACCAGCUGUCUUUGUGUCUUAUGAAACCUCAAGUCAAAAUGAGACCGCAUUUAAUUAUUCUGCUUUGCUCUUUUUUUGGGGUGGGGGGGAGAUAGAGUUUCACUCUGUCACCCAGGCUGGAGUGCAGUGGCACAAUCUUUGCUCACUGUAACCUCUGCCUCUUGGGUUCAAGUGAUUCUCGUGCCCCAGCCUCCCGAGUAGCUGGGACUACAGGCACGUGCCACCACGCCCAGCUAAUUUUUAUAUUUUUAGUAGAGACGGGGUUUUGCUGUGUUGGCCAGGCUGGUCUCAAACUCCUGACCUCAAGUAAUCCACCUGGCCUGCUCUUUUCAUGUCUUAACAUGGCAUGUCUUUUAGUUUCAUUAUUUUCCUACUCCUUGUAUGUCAAGAAAUUACAUUUUGCAUGUCUUAUGGAGAUGCUGUUAAUUGCUUCAGUGAGUGCUUUUCUAAUCUGCAGACCAUUUACAUUUCCUGUUUGCAGCAUGCUGUGUGCAAACACUCAGUAAUUUGGAGUAUUCAAUUAUUUGUUAGGGCUCUUCCUAUUUCCAAAUGUGCUGAAUUGUCUAUUGAUGGGAUUUUCAGAUCUUUUCAUGAGAACUGGAAAUGUAGCUGGGUGGCACCUACCUAGGUUGCUACGUAGUGAGUAGACUUUCUCUUGGGUAUAGUAAGCCUCAGACAGCUUUCACUUUUAUCUACUUUACUUGUGGAAAUAAAACAGUCAUUUUGUUCUGAAAGAAUAAGAUAGCUUUCUGUAGAGAAGGAAUUCCUACCUCUAAAAGCUGCCUUGAGAACUCAGAACUGGCAGUUUUCUGAGGUGAUUUUUAAAUUUCAGUAUUAGGGAGAGUCCAGCAUUUGCUGACACAGAUUCUACAUAACUAAUGUAUGAUAGCAAAUGCAAAACUAUUAUAAUGUGGUGUAUCUUGCGCAUACACAGGUUAGAACAAGUAGACUCUGGCAGCAGAUCUCCAGAGACCCAAGUUUAGGUUCUCAUAGUGUAUUUGAAGUAGUUAUACUCCUGGCUUAAGUAGUUUAGUGCCUGGGAGAAUCCAUUACUGAAAA
This 4477-nucleotide long non-coding RNA is filed under the name Homo sapiens (human). RNAcentral describes it as "OIP5 antisense RNA 1". Lineage: Eukaryota; Metazoa; Chordata; Mammalia; Primates; Hominidae. The record is from RNAcentral.